UACGUAGGGUGCAAGCGUUGUCCGGAAUUAUUGGGCGUAAAGAGCUCGUAGGCGGUUUGUCGCGUCUGCUGUGAAAACGCGAGGCUCAACCUCGCGCCUGCAGUGGGGUACGGGCAGACUGGAGUGCGGUAGGGGGAGAUUGGAAUUCCUGGUGUAGCGGUGGAAUGCGCAGAUAUCAGGAGGAACACCGAUGGCGAAGGCAGAUCUCUGGGCCGUAACUGACGCUGAGGAGCGAAAGCGUGGGGGAGCGAACAGG
RNAcentral lists this ribosomal RNA (256 nucleotides) under uncultured bacterium. RNAcentral's name for it is "partial 16S ribosomal RNA". It matches the Rfam family "Bacterial small subunit ribosomal RNA", at positions 524 to 776 of the family's 1533-position model. The record is from RNAcentral.